GUAACAAUACGCCAACAAAAAUAUUUGAGGCGAUAACUCGCCCAAAAUUUUAAAGUAAUGGUUUUCCUAAAAAUCUCUAAAAGCUUUAUGACGUUGUAAGAACUCUAUCAUCUAACACCUUAUUAGAUAGUGAACCUAAAGAUUCGUACUCGAGGAGAGCUAAUGAUACAAUACCACCCAAAAGUACUACUCCAAACUAUUCGAGUCCUAAUCUAAUAUAAAUAUUAUCCACUAAGGAUAAA
RNAcentral lists this unclassified non-coding RNA (242 nucleotides) under Hevea brasiliensis (rubber tree). The record is from RNAcentral. Lineage: Eukaryota; Viridiplantae; Streptophyta; Magnoliopsida; Malpighiales; Euphorbiaceae.